Long non-coding RNA from Bufo bufo (common toad), 165 nucleotides. RefSeq lists it as uncharacterized. The transcript is spliced from 3 exons. The record is from RefSeq and is a predicted model, not a curated record. Lineage: Eukaryota; Metazoa; Chordata; Amphibia; Anura; Bufonidae.
UUCUUUACUUAAGAGAUAGGAUAACCGGAUUAAGUUGCUUCUGAACCUAUCUUGUGGAUUACAGAAGAUCUCUGAUGGAGGACAAAAUUCACACAGACACCAUGCUUUUGUUUCCUCAGGAACACACACUGCUCUGCUCACUGCAGCCUCUUUUUUUUUUUUUUU